Molecule: ribosomal RNA, 480 nt
Filed under: Triticum aestivum (bread wheat)
Lineage: Eukaryota; Viridiplantae; Streptophyta; Magnoliopsida; Poales; Poaceae
Description: partial small subunit ribosomal RNA
Source: RNAcentral
AUGCUGAUGGUGCGGUACUGGAGAGGCAUGGAGCGCUUCGGCGGCGUCGAGGCUUACAAUCAGAAGGAGAUAUUCACAGUGGGCGGCAUCACUGGCCGAAUUGAGGUGUUGAAGGUGGACAUCGCCUGCCGGAGGCUGGUCCCCAUCAGUAGCCUUGGCCGGCAUGCGGUGUUUCUUGGCCGGACGCACUGCUUGCACAUCUCUACUGAGAUAUUCCCCUCCAUUACUGCCAGGUCGAUAUACCUGAGCUGCUAUCAUCAGCAAACUUGUGGGUUCGGCAUCUAUCAUAUCAACAACAAGAACCAUGGGAGGACCGAACCCGAGCACAAGUUCGUCUUCGUUGUAACACUGGGUUUAACUCAUGCUGCCAGACCCUACAACCUUGAUGAGUAUCUUGUACUCUAUGUCAACUGGAGACACAACCGUAGUAGGUCAUGUCUCAAUCAUACCAGUACUUAUUGUAGGGAGUACUCUCGCUAG